AUUGAACGCUGGCGGCAGGCUUAACACAUGCAAGUCGAGCGGGGGGAGGUAGCUUGCUACCGGACCUAGCGGCGGACGGGUGAGUAAUGCUUAGGAAUCUGCCUAUUAGUGGGGGACAACAUCUCGAAAGGGAUGCUAAUACCGCAUACGUCCUACGGGAGAAAGCAGGGGAUCUUCGGACCUGGCGCUAAUAGAUGAGACUAAGUCGGAUUAGCUAGUUGGGGGGGUAAAGGCCUACCAAGGCGACGAUCUGUAGCGGGUCUGAGAGGAUGAUCCGCCACACUGGGACUGAGACACGGCCCAGACUCCUACGGGAGGCAGCAGUGGGGAAUAUUGGACAAUGGGGGGAACCCUGAUCCAGCCAUGCCGCGUGUGUGGAGAAGGCCUUAUGGUUGUAAAGCACUUUAAGCGAGGAGGAGGCUACUUUAGUUAAUACCUAGAGAUAGUGGACGUUACUCGCAGAAUAAGCACCGGCUAACUCUGUGCCAGCAGCCGCCGUAA
This 501-nucleotide ribosomal RNA is filed under the name uncultured bacterium. RNAcentral's name for it is "partial 16S ribosomal RNA". It matches the Rfam family "Bacterial small subunit ribosomal RNA", at positions 30 to 523 of the family's 1533-position model. The record is from RNAcentral.